UGUUGAAAAUGGCAAAACCGUCGAAAGGCGGUGACGCAAAGCUACCUGUCUACCGGAUGCCACAUCCCAUGAUCGAGGAGCCGCCACA
Molecule: non-coding RNA, 88 nt
Filed under: Gammaproteobacteria bacterium
Lineage: Bacteria; Pseudomonadati; Pseudomonadota; Gammaproteobacteria
Description: c-di-GMP sequence
Rfam family: c-di-GMP-I riboswitch aptamer
About the family: GEMM was predicted in a large-scale screen for bacterial structured RNA regulatory elements. Genes associated with GEMM are involved in a diverse array of functions, including chemotaxis regulation, signal transduction, secretion and chitin.
Source: RNAcentral